RNAcentral lists this ribosomal RNA (483 nucleotides) under uncultured bacterium. RNAcentral describes it as "bacterial SSU rRNA". It matches the Rfam family "Bacterial small subunit ribosomal RNA", at positions 28 to 489 of the family's 1533-position model. The record is from RNAcentral.
GACGAACGCUGGCGGCGUGCCUAAUACAUGCAAGUCGAGCGGACUUGAUGAAGUGCUUGCACUUCUGAUAGUUAGCGGCGGACGGGUGAGUAACACGUGGGUAACCUGCCCAUAAGACUGGGAUAACAUCCGGAAACGGAUGCUAAUACCGGAUACACAAUUUGGUCGCAUGGCCGAGUUGGGAAAGGCGGAGCAAUCUGCCACUUAUGGAUGGACCUGCGGCGCAUUAGCUAGUUGGUGAGGUAACGGCUCACCAAGGCGACGAUGCGUAGCCGACCUGAGAGGGUGAUCGGCCACACUGGGACUGAGACACGGCCCAGACUCCUACGGGAGGCAGCAGUAGGGAAUCUUCCGCAAUGGACGAAAGUCUGACGGAGCAACGCCGCGUGAGUGAUGAAGGUUUUCGUAUCGUAAAGCUCUGUUGCCAGGGAAGAAAUGCCUAGGAGAGUAACUGCUCUUAAGGUGACGGUACCUGAGAAGAAA